Molecule: ribosomal RNA, 477 nt
Filed under: Triticum aestivum (bread wheat)
Lineage: Eukaryota; Viridiplantae; Streptophyta; Magnoliopsida; Poales; Poaceae
Description: partial small subunit ribosomal RNA
Source: RNAcentral
AUGCGGUCGCAGCCCUAUCCGCACCCUUCCCACCUGAUUCACCCGCAGCACGCCAUGCAGGUGGCACUUUUGCUUGUGUCUUGUUUUCUUUUCGAAAUGGUGAAGCUGACAAUGAUAGCUUGUAUCACUGAUGGCCUACAAUUGACGGAGUGCUUAGAUGGUGGUUAUGUGAAGGAUGUUGUCUUCUACAAGCAGCAAGCAAAAUUGUUGUUCAAAAACAUAUCUAAAGACCAGCAUGAACCAUCAAGACUAUCAACUGAGACUGGACCAUACCGUUUCCAGGUCAGGGUAUGUAUUUACAGUACAUCAUACAUUUUUUGCUUUCAGCAAGAUGAGGAUAAUGUGACUGUUUGUGUGCGUGUGUGCUAUAUGAUACAUUUUCGCUUUCGUCAAGAUGAGGAUACUGUGACUAUUUGUGUGCGUGCGUGCGUGCUAUAUGAUACAUUUUUUGGCCAUAAUCAAGAUGAGGAUACUUGA